Non-coding RNA from Arachis ipaensis, 3212 nucleotides. NCBI's taxonomy places the organism in Eukaryota, Viridiplantae, Streptophyta, Magnoliopsida, Fabales, Fabaceae. The record is from RefSeq and is a predicted model, not a curated record.
AGUAACAAAUAUAUCAAUUCUGAAAUUUUAAGCCUUUAUAAAACUUCAUGCAUGGUAUAUCAUACAUUUGCAUUUCCAAAACAAAAAGAAGACACAUGGCUAGAAAUGGUGGUGUGACCUAUAAACAAAUAACACGUUUUUUCAUUAUUAUUGUUGGAUUUGUUAUUUGUGCUAUCAUUGUUGAAUCGUAUGACAAUAUUCCAAAAUACUAUUAUGGUCUUAGAAAAAAGGAAUAUAUGCUGGAAGUUUGUCUUCAAAGAUGCAAGAGCCGCUAUAGAAAUAAUCCGAAAAAGAAGAAGGAUUGCAUUAAGAGAUGCAAUGCUAGGUAUGGUCCUCGGGUGGAAAGUUAUAACAAUGGCAUGUAAGAAUUAGAAUUUAAAUAAAUCUUUAAUUUCAAUACAUAAAAGAAGAUUUGAGCACCUCAUCGAUCAGACCAGAAAAUGAUUCACAUUGCAAUACCGGAUGUUUAAAUUACUUUCUUAUUAUUUCAGUUAUCCUUUAGGUUUAAUAGUUAAAUUGUGAUAUAAGGCAAUAGUAGCCAUUAGACUACAAUCAAACGUAAUAAAAAAUUGUGAAGUGACGAAAUUUCUUUUACAUGCUCAUCCAAUUUAAAAUUUAUUUAGAUGAAUAAUCACAAAUGAAGAAAUAUCGCACAUUGAUCAAAUUCGAAAGCGAUUCACGAAGUUGAUUUUUUUAAUGCAUAAUAUUUGUUCAAAAUUUUUGCGACCAUCCGAAUUUCGUAGCUUCCGAGAUGAUGGGGCUUCUUUCACCAAGUUGAUUAGAGACCGAGAGACAAUUUAUAAAGACAUUCUAAUACUUAAGAUUUAUUUGAAUGAAUAAAUAAUUUUUAACCAUCUCUUUUCUUUGUCGUUGCUUUCCUAUUUUUAGAUUUUCUCUCUCUCCUUUCUAUCACCUUUUACACUCUCAUCGCUGUAUGCCACCCCCUUUCAUUGCCUACACGUCUAACUCUCAAGGUAAUCGUAAAAUAGUCGUCGCGCACCUGACACCCAACUCGAGGGGAAUCGUCGUCGUCGAAGGCAGAGUCGUCCGCCACCUUUCUCUCCUCUCUUGCUCUCUGAUUUUGCAACUACAACUUUCUUUACUUUUCUAACUAUCUGCGACAAUGUGACUGCAUCUCUUCCUCUCUAGUCUCUAGCCACUACAAAAAAAGAGGCAUAAAAUGGCAGCAACAUAAUGGAAGUUCUACAAAACCGCCGAUAUAUUCAUAAAUUGAGGCAGUUUAUGCGGCUACCGUAAUUCACUGGUAGGAAACAGCGGUUUUUUGGUGCUUUUGGCGGUUUUAAACGCCAUUACCUGCUCCUGCUCCUGCUUCACUGAUAUAAAAAGUAAAAACUCUUCUAUUUCAUUAAUAAACGUUGUCUAUUUGAUCGAGCCUCCAUCCCAAUGUGAGAAACCAAGAAGUUCCUCCAUCGCAACAUGAGAUCUGCAAUCUCAUCCACGAGGCUCUCCUCUGGCGGCAAGCUCCUCCAUCAACGCUUUUCUUCCAGCUGCGAUCUCCUCCAUCAGCGUUUUACUUCAAUUGAUGGAUCUGCUGUGUGAUUUUUUCUGCUCCACCGUGUUGUCCUCUGUGAAUCUUCUCCGUCUCCAUCUUCGUUGAAUUAGAUGAUGAAGAUAAAUUGAUUUGGAACUAUUUAAAAGAUGGAAGCUACCUAAAUAAGAACCACUUGAAGAUAGACAUCAUCUUUUCGUUCAUCUAGAAUUUGAUCACUAUGGACAUUUAAUUAUGUGCUGGCUGGUAAUAAACUUUGUAAGGGUUGUUUAUCACUAUUGCACACUUUGUUAGUAGCGGUGACAAUGAACCAUCCAGAAGCAGAACCAUGUGCAGGAUUCACGGCCGGAAUCAUUUUGAGGAGGCAUGGUGUUGGUGUUUGAAUAUGGAAGAGAAGAGAAGAUGAAAAAAUGAAUAAUUGAAUGAAGGAGAAAACAGAGUCAAAUAUAAGAGGGAGAAAGAAAAAAGAAAGUGUAUUCUAAAAUUCUAAAUCAAGUUGUGGUAGCUAGUUUUAGUUUACCAAAAACAUGACUAUCACGUUACUUCCAUGGUUCCAUGGCUUUCUUGCUAGUGCUCACUUAGUGUGGUUUUUUCAUCCCUUGUGUUACAGGUAUAUAAAAAAAUACUUUUAUGUAUAUUUCACUUGAUUGAUUUCAUGUUAAAGCUAGCAUUAGAUGUAUUUCUUUUUUAACUUUCUUGAAGCUGUAUCUUUUAAUUUUGAAUCAGCUAAUAGAUGUUAUUUUUCUCUUUAUUUUUGCUGUAAUUAUUGAAUACCACUACAAAAAAAAGGGCACAAAAUGGCAGCAACAUAAUGGCGGUUCUAUAUUAUUGAACUGUAUGGACUUGUCAUUCAACAAAGGUUUAAAAGGUCCUCUGUCUCCAGAGAUAGGAGACUUAAGCAAUCUGAAUAUUCUCAUCUUGGCUGGUUGUAGCUUCAGUGGCAGCAUUCCAGAUGCAUUGGGAAAUCUUUCACAGCUAUCCUUCUUGUUUGUUCAUUGGUAUUGACGAUCCAUAUGAACCAGCAAGUAGUUAUGAAGUAUGUAUUUCAGUAUUUAUAUGUAGUUGUUAUGUUGUGUGUAUACCUGGUAUCUUUGAAGGAGAAAAAUACUAAUUAGCUGAGAAAGCACUUCGAAUGCACUUAGUCCUUUUUCAUUCUCUGCACCAGCAAAUUCUAGAUUUGCCUUUAAGAAUAUUGAUGUCAUAGCUGUGGUAUCCAUGACAAAACAAUUAAGGAGAAUCCAUAAGGCACUGAAAUUACUUGGGUGAUCAUGCUUGUUUACAAAGGACUGUAUGGCGAAGAUGACUCAGUGAAGCAAGAGUUUGCAGCAGCUUCUAGUUACUAUUUACAAGCUAAUUCUCUAUGGCCUUCUAGUGGAAAUCCCCAUCAUCAGCUUGCCUUAUUGGCUUCAUAUUCUGAGGAUGAGCUGGCAGCUGCUUAUCAUUAUUUUAGGAGUUUGGUUGUGGAGAGUCGAUUUUCAACUGCCAGAGAUAAUUUGAUUGCUACAUUUGAGAAGCUCUACUUGCAACUUCUUUACCAAUUCGAGCAAUUGUACUUCUACAGAGCUCCUACAAAGAGCAGCAAGACCACAGGUUUGCACAAGAGGAAGCAAAUCUCAUCCAAAACGACACGUAUGUUACUUUAUGCAAUUUAAUCAGCACUAAAAUGUGUUUGUUGAGUUGAAGCUUUGAAGGGAAGGAUUUU